UGGGGAAUUUUGGACAAUGGGCGAAAGCCUGAUCCAGCAAUGCCGCGUGUGUGAAGAAGGCCUUCGGGUUGUAAAGCACUUUUGUCCGGAAAGAAAUCCUUGGCUCUAAUACAGUCGGGGGAUGACGGUACCGGAAGAAUAAGCACCGGCUAACUACGUGCCAGCAGCCGCGGUAAUACGUAGGGUGCAAGCGUUAAUCGGAAUUACUGGGCGUAAAGCGUGCGCAGGCGGUUUGCUAAGACCGAUGUGAAAUCCCCGGGCUCAACCUGGGAACUGCAUUGGUGACUGGCAGGCUAGAGUAUGGCAGAGGGGGGUAGAAUUCCACGUGUAGCAGUGAAAUGCGUAGGAGAUGUGGAGGAAUACCGAUGGCGAAGGCAGCCCCCUGGGCCAAAUACUGACGCUCAUGCACGAAAGCGUGGGGAGCAAACAGGAUUCAGAUACCCUGGUAGUCCACGCCCUAAACGAUGUCAACUAGUUGUUGGGGAUUCAUUUCCUUAGUAACGUAGCUAACGCGUGAAGUUGACCGCCUGGGGAGUACGGUCGCAAGAUU
This 550-nucleotide ribosomal RNA is filed under the name uncultured bacterium. RNAcentral describes it as "partial 16S ribosomal RNA". It matches the Rfam family "Bacterial small subunit ribosomal RNA", at positions 355 to 895 of the family's 1533-position model. The record is from RNAcentral.